This 1003-nucleotide small RNA is filed under the name Pan troglodytes (chimpanzee). RNAcentral's name for it is "retained intron". Lineage: Eukaryota; Metazoa; Chordata; Mammalia; Primates; Hominidae. The record is from RNAcentral.
UCACCUCUCCUCCCCAGCACCCUUGUCUGUUUUUGAAUCCUAGCCCAAGCAGAGAUGCUUUCAGAGUUUGAGGAGAAAUGACUUCCCUUAUGGUUUACAGGCCAGAAAUAAGCGGAAACAAGAGACCAAGAGCUUAAAGCAGAAGGAAGCUAAGAAGAAAUCCAAGGCUGAGAAAGAAAAAGGAAAGACAAAGCAGGAAAAACUGAAGGAAAAAGUCAAGAGGGAAAAGAAGGAGAAGGUAAAAAUGAAGGAAAAGGAGGAGGUGACCAAAGCCAAGCCAGCCUGUAAAGCAGAUAAGACCCUGGCCACACAGAGGCGCUUAGAGGAACGGCAGAGGCAGCAGAUGAUCUUGGAGGAAAUGAAGAAGCCGACAGAGGAUAUGUGUCUGACUGACCACCAGGUAGUGAGGAGAGAGUAACAGUUCCUGGGUCAGUUGGGAAGACUUUCCUUUAAAAAAAAAAAAAAACGGACUUCUGCAAUGGGAGAGACAUUUCCAUUAAAGAUUAAAGGAAGGCCGGGUGCCAUGGCUCACACCUGUAAUCCCAGCACUUUGGGAGGCCAAGGCGGGCAGAUCGCUUGAGCCCAGCAGUUCAAGACCAGCCUGGGCAACAUGGCGAGACCUCAUCUCUACAAAAAAUACGAAAAUUAGCUGGGUGUGGUGGCAUGUACCUGUAGUCCCAGCUAUUUGGGAGACUGAGGUGGGAGAAUUGCCUGGGCUUAGGAGGUCGAGGCUGCAGUAAGCAGAGAUCAUGCCACUGCACUCCAGCUUGGGUGACAGAGUGAGACCCUAUCUCAAAAAAAAAAAAAUUACAUAAAGAUUAAAGGAAGAACCUCUUGUAGACAUGCAAAUUGUCAUAUUCUGUUAUGUUUAACAGAACUCCCUACUCACUUUUCUCUCUCUAGCCCCUGCCUGACUUCUCACGAGUCCCUGGUCUGACAUUGCCCAGUGGAGCCUUCUCAGACUGCUUGACCAUUGUGGAGUUCCUGCAUAGCUUUGGCAAGG